RNAcentral lists this ribosomal RNA (468 nucleotides) under uncultured bacterium. RNAcentral's name for it is "partial 16S ribosomal RNA". It matches the Rfam family "Bacterial small subunit ribosomal RNA", at positions 329 to 793 of the family's 1533-position model. The record is from RNAcentral.
GUCCAGACUCCUACGGGAGGCAGCAGUGAGGAAUAUUGGUCAAUGGGCGGAAGCCUGAACCAGCCAAGUCGCGUGAGGGAAGAAGGCCCUGCGGGUCGCAGACCUCUUUGGACGGGGAGCAAGGCCGCCGACGUGUCGGCGGAAGGAGAGUACCCGUAGAACAAGCAUCGGCUAACUCCGUGCCAGCAGCCGCGGUAAUACGGAGGAUGCGAGCGUUAUCCGGAUUUACUGGGUGUAAAGGGCGUGUAGGCGGGCCUGCAAGUCAGAAGUGAAAUCUGGGGGCUUAACCCCCAAACUGCUUUUGAAACUGUGGGUCUUGAGUGAUGGAGAGGCAGGCGGAAUUCCCAGUGUAGCGGUGAAAUGCGUAGAUAUUGGGAGGAACACCAGUGGCGAAGGCGGCCUGCUGGACAUUAACUGACGCUGAGGCGCGAAAGCGUGGGGAGCAAACAGGAUUAGAUACCCCUGUAC